UCACGUCUUCUGAAAACCCAUAUAAAUACGUACCUAGACCCUACUCGAUAGCAUCCCAUAACCAGCCACCUCUUUCCCUUGAAGCUCUCCAAUCUAGAUCUAUUAGCAACGGUAGACAAGGCAAUCGAUAACUCGAAGGCCCUCGUCAUCGCCCAGACUAAGCCUCUCGCUGUUGUGCCACCGAAGCCUCUCACCGUUGUGCCGCCGAAGCACGUCGCCACAGUACCCCAGCGCUAUGAUCAAGCCUACUACAUGCAAGAACCAUCUGAUCCUUCUCCUACAAGGCGAUCGCUACAAGGAAUUGCUUAAGGGAAGCAGGUCGCUAUGCCCAAGGGUACUCCACUUCUCCAACCUAGGGAGAAUGAGCGGCUCGUGUCAGUCCAAACCGACAAGAACAGGAAGCUGAUCUGUGCCUAGUACACCACCACUCGUCCAGUUAUCCAAGGCGUCCGGGCUAACCCUAACGAGGUGUGCUACGUCAAGCAUCUCGCACCGUCACCUAAGCCCAAGAGGAAGAGAGCAACAUUAGCACUAGCACCGGAGAAAGCCACCAAGCAGCCAGCUCCUACCUUGCGCACCCUCAGCGAAAAACUUGAAGGCCUCUCUGACAUUGUCAGGGGGAUGGAGAAGUCCAACAAUCUAAGGGACAAGCUUAUAGAAGGCAUGGACAAGCAGUUAGGGAUUAGCUUCCAAUUAAUCGCAGCCCUAGGAGGGAUAAAGAUAAGCUUGAAGCAGAGAUUGCAGCCCUGCAUGAAGAAAUUCAGGGCCUCAACAAGAAAGGGCAGCCGUAGUUGCCCAGUUACUUAUUAAUAAGGCACAAUUCCGCUAGGUUUGGUUAGUUAGUUAGGUCAGUCAAGUCAUAAAAAUUUUCUUAGGUCAAAGCCCAUCGAGCUAGGGCAGUCGUUAGCUCAAUCGUUAAAGCGUUUGUUCAAUUAUCACCAUCAUGAAUAAAUAAAGUGUCUUAUCUUUUAUCUAGUCUAUUCGGUAUUUUUGCAUGUGUUUGUCUCCACAUAUUGCGUAGGAAAGUAUAUAGGAAAACAAGUGUGGGGGAGGCACAUUGCCUAGAGGUGGGGCCGGCCGGCGCCUAGGUGGGGCCGGCCGGCGCCCUGUUCGCUCAUCUCCGCUUCCGCUUCGGUCACGGUUAGGUUUGAUUUAUUUAUAUUAUAAUAGCAUAUAUUUUAUCUUUCAAUUAUCAUCCGAAUCGUAAACCUCUAUAUUACACAUUUUUAAGAAAGAAUAAUCACUAUCUAUGACUUGAAAAAAAUAAAUUGUAUAACAACUUUUCCAGAGUCAUGGUUGUGAAAUUUAUAUGUACUUCAUGCUUGCUUAAGUUAUUGAGGAAAGAGAGAUAGCAAAAUAAUGAGUAUUCAAUUCAUGAAAAUUUGUCUUUGGAGAUUUUCUUUUUAAAAAGGUGAAAACAAUUAGCUUCACCUCUCUUUGUAUUGGAAUCAAAUAAUAAUAUCAUCAUUAUGACUUUGGUAGAGAGAUUUAUCAUAUUCCUAAAAUAAAAACAUAAGACACUCUCUUAAGCACUAUUAUGAAGGAGGCAUGAGCUCUUCAUAAAGAAAUCUGAGGAAAUAAAAAGGGACAAGUGUCCAAAAACUCAAAAAGAUAGAUCACGAGGAAAUAAAAAGGGACAAUUGUCCGGAACCUCGAUCUGAAAAAAAAAGAGAGAAGAAAAAAAAGAGAAAAGAAAGAGAGCUCAUGUUUCCUCCUACAUAAUAUGCUAAGGAAGUGAAUAAUUUGUCUGAUCUAUGAAUAUGAUAUUUUCCUCCCUGGUGAUAACAUCAAAUUAAUAUCAUAAUCAUUGAUGUCACUACAAUUAAGAGAAGGUUGAAGCUAUGUUUUAUUUGAAAACUUCACUAACUCUCUAGUAGACAAAAUUUAAGAAGAGAGUUAUCUACUUUAAGCUAUCAUACUCUGCAACAGCUAUAGAAUUCAUGAUAAGCACUUUAAAUUUCCACAGUGCAUGAAGCCUAGAUCAGUUUUAUAUAAUUUAAUUUCCAAGUUAUGCAUUAAAUAUUCACUCAGUAUGAUGAAACCAACCUUUUUCUCAGGACGAGUAAAAGCCUAAGUGUGGGGGUAAUUGUUGACACUUGUUAACUUCUAAAAUUUAUUAGCAUUUAUUUCUCCACCAGAAAUGAAUAUCCACUAGAAUAGGGUUAUCACUAACAAUUUCCAUGAGUUUUGUAUAUUCUGUAUUCUCCAGGGAUUAUUCCAAAAAGUGCUAAAAAGAGGGAUUUAAGUGCUAAUCGAUCACGAAACUUAGCCGCGACGAAAGGAUGACACCGGAUGAUUCAGAAACACUCUAGAAGACACUCGACGCGAGGGGGGAGCCAACUGCCACCAGGUGGGGCUGGCCGGCCCCACCCUAGCGCCGGAGGGCCCCGUAGGGUUAGGGUUUGCUCCUCGUUCUAGAAGCUUCCUCCACCGCCUCUACGAAGCCAUCUCCACUGCUUGUUAAGUCGGUUUGAUCCAACGGCACGCGUUCACCCCACCAGGCUAAACAUAGAAGGCAAGACCCCCCUGGAGGACUCCAGAUCAAGAGAUGAAGAGCCAGAGCAUUAGAUAGAGAUCCACUAGAUCUAGGCUAGCAAUAAAGAUAGAGAUUAGAGAGAGAUAGAGUAGAGGAGUAGAGAUUGGGAGGAGUCCCGGCCUGUCGGAGCUUCCUCAGGAGCUGUAUUCUUCGGUAUUCGGCUCCCUCACUCGGAACCGCGUUCUGAGGUACUUUUGUAUUUACCCUUCUAAUUCAAGUAAGCAACUUGUUUGUAUUCAUUCUUUGGUUUGCAACUCAUAGUAUAUUGAGUACUACGAUUUAGGUAGCUCCUAGGUCGGAGUAGUGAUUCGUAGCGUAGACGUGGUGUCUGGACUAUGGUUCCUUGUGAAUGUCCUCUGAUCAGCCGAACAGUGGUAGUUCGUGUAGGGGACUUUAUAGCUGCAUUGAUUCCUCUAUAGUCUACUUCCCAUUGAUAGGAUUGAUAGUCUUAUAGGUGCCUGAUAGGGGAUUACUCUGAUUCUUCCCCUAUUCGGGUUACUUGCCCGAUAAGACGAUACUAUACAAAGUUUACCAACGAGAGUACAUUAGUAUUUCCUCAUCAUCAAUAGUUUCUAGAUGGUUUGUGCCCUCUUUGAUUAAGAAAUUACAGGCUAAGUCAUAAAUCACCUACUGUUCCUUUGGGUUCGAUAUUAAAACCGGGUUGAUCUUGGUGAAGUGCUGAUCAGUAUAUAUCUGUGCGCUUGUGGAUAAUCUGAUUAUAAUCAUUAUUAGGGUGCACUUAAUUUAUACCAACAGUGGUGAGGAUGGUGAUGAAGAUGCUGCUGUGAAGGACCC
RNAcentral lists this long non-coding RNA (3331 nucleotides) under Sorghum bicolor (sorghum). Its description in RNAcentral is "long non-coding RNA (SBIC_LNC014992)". Lineage: Eukaryota; Viridiplantae; Streptophyta; Magnoliopsida; Poales; Poaceae. The record is from RNAcentral.